GGAUGAACGCUGGCGGCGUGCCUAAUACAUGCAAGUCGAGCGAACGGACGAGAAGCUUGCUUCUCUGAUGUUCGCGGCGGACGGGUGAGUAACACGUGGAUAACCUACCUAUAAGACUGGGAUAACUUCGGGAAACCGUAGCUAAUACCGGAUAAUAUUUUGAACCGCAUGGUUCAAAAGUGAAAGACGGUCUUGCUGUCACUUAUAGAUGGAUCCGCGCUGCAUUAGCUAGUUGGUAAGGUAACGGCUUACCAAGGCAACGAUGCAUAGCCGACCUGAGAGGGUGAUCGGCCACACUGGAACUGAGACACGGUCCAGACUCCUACGGGAGGCAGCAGUAGGGAAUCUUCCGCAAUGGGCGAAAGCCUGACGGAGCAACGCCGCGUGAGUGAUGAAGGUCUUCGGAUCGUAAAACUCUGUUAUUAGGGAAGAACAUAUGUGUAAGUAACUGUGCACAUCUUGACGGUACCUAAUCAGAAAGCCACGGCUAACUACGUG
RNAcentral lists this ribosomal RNA (498 nucleotides) under uncultured bacterium. RNAcentral describes it as "partial 16S ribosomal RNA". It matches the Rfam family "Bacterial small subunit ribosomal RNA", at positions 27 to 507 of the family's 1533-position model. The record is from RNAcentral.